UUAAUGGCUUGGAAAGGGAGGAGUACGGUGAUCACCGCUCUUUUAGAGAGGGAAUCCAUGGCUGAAAGAUUCCUGAGCGGAUUCAUCGGAAGGUCGCCCUCGAGCUGCUUCUGUGAAACGAUUUAGUAGCCGAAGCCGGGAAAACCCGUUAUCCGAAAGAGUGCCGGAUUUCGAUCCGGAAAAAAGGUGGUACCACGAAGACAACUCCUUUCGUCCUUUUG
This 221-nucleotide non-coding RNA is filed under the name Bacillus smithii. Its description in RNAcentral is "T-box sequence". It matches the Rfam family "T-box leader". From Rfam's summary of the family: Uncharged tRNA acts as the effector for transcription antitermination of genes in the T-box leader family. T-boxes are found upstream of many aminoacyl-tRNA synthetase genes and some amino acid biosynthetic genes usually in Gram-positive bacteria. The record is from RNAcentral. Lineage: Bacteria; Bacillati; Bacillota; Bacilli; Caryophanales; Bacillaceae.